Molecule: long non-coding RNA, 699 nt
Filed under: Macaca fascicularis (crab-eating macaque)
Lineage: Eukaryota; Metazoa; Chordata; Mammalia; Primates; Cercopithecidae
Description: lncRNA (ENSMFAG00000064130.1)
Source: RNAcentral
GGCUAACUAAACAUCUAUCAGCUCCUCUGUGUUUAAACACAGUGGUCCUCUUUGUGCUGCAGGUUGUUUUGUUUUGAGGCCUGGUCGCAAUUGCUGAUGUCACUACACAUAUUUUGGAAAAAAGACGCAAGCAUGCAUCUACAGAUUUAACCUUUUUCUCAGAGGAAGAACUUACUGGCUAUGGUACUAUAUUGUGAAAGCCAAGGUUCUUCAUUAAUUUAGACAACUUAAGGGUACCCUGAGGAGAUGAGAUCAGGACCUUCAGAUUAUGAGACUCACGCCCUGCCAGCUGUGCUAAGAGGGCUCCUGAGGAGAUGAGAUGAAACAUAGAUGGACAAUGAUCUGGGAAAUCCGAGGGACUCGAUUUAGACCAGAACAGCUCGUGGAAGAGAAAACACAGCAAACAAAGUGCACUGGAAGCACCGUUUAACUUCGUCAGGUUUGUGGCACCUGGUUUUUGAAUUAAUGCUGUUUCUUGAGUUUAGAAAUAAAUCGCACACAUUUUUGCUUUAGGAGCACUUAGAGAAAGAACAGCAUCACCCAUCUCUAAAAGGAUUUCCCAGUGGAUAAACUGCUAAGGAAACAUGUUUGUGUUCACACUUCAAAUAGAAAUAUUUACUAUUCAGACUCUGUACUUGAAUUUUUUUUUAAAUCAAGUAACUAAGUUGGCUUUUUGUGAAUGAUGACCCAAAUCAGGGC